Gallus gallus (chicken) is the source of this 275-nucleotide long non-coding RNA. RefSeq lists it as uncharacterized. The record is from RefSeq and is a predicted model, not a curated record. The transcript is spliced from 2 exons. Lineage: Eukaryota; Metazoa; Chordata; Aves; Galliformes; Phasianidae.
GGCGGCUCUCCGAGCGGCGCGCGGGCGGCGGUGGUUCUUCAUGGCGGUGCGGGGCGUACGGCGGGUAGCGGAGGCUGUUCAGCGCCUCCCGGCCGUCGGCACGGAGCAGGGCCGAGCGGAGGUGGAACCAAAGCACAGUUGUGCCUCCCCACAGGACGCACCAGUGAAGAUGUAGUCAAACUUGUUCUCCAGCAGCCUGGUGAUCUCCUCCCUGCCAGCAGUCACCAUGGUGAAGCAGUCCUGUGGUUUAGGAGAAUGAUACAGGAUACAGCUCA